Lynx canadensis (Canada lynx) is the source of this 538-nucleotide long non-coding RNA. RefSeq lists it as uncharacterized. The record is from RefSeq and is a predicted model, not a curated record. The transcript is spliced from 2 exons. Lineage: Eukaryota; Metazoa; Chordata; Mammalia; Carnivora; Felidae.
ACUGUGAAAUCAUGACCUGAGCCGAAACCAGGAAUUGGACACUUAACCAGUUAAGCCGCCCAGAUGCCCCUGUGGGAUGCCAGAGUGUUCUUAUGAGCCAAGAGGACUUGUGGAAGGAUCUGGCCUUGGGGUUGUUGUAAAACACUUAUCUUUGAAGGCUUCUCGCCAAAGGACAAAGGCCAUCAGCAAAAAGAGGCUGGAAGGCAUCACUGGCUACAGAGGAUGAAGAUCGGAUGAGAAGCACUUGGCCAGAGACCAGAAUGGCCCCAGGGUCCCCAGGGAGUGACUUUGGUGAGGAUUCCGCAAAGUGCUGUUGAAGAGAAGGAAUCAUCACUGGGAAACUGCCUCACCCAGAAGACGCAAACAUCGUUCCAUAUCUGCCUUUGAUGAAAAAGUUCUGGAGAUCUGUUUCACCAUAAUGUGACUCUACUUCACAUUACCAAACUGUAUACUUAAAAAUGGUUCAGAUGGUAAAUUUAAUGUUAUGCGUCUUUUAACCACCUUCAAAAAAAGAGUGAAGGAAGUAUGGGAUCCAAAA